CGUAGGGUCCGAGCGUUGUCCGGAAUUAUUGGGGCGUAAAGGGCUUGUAGGCGGUUCUUCACGUCGGAAGUGAAACUCAGGGCUCAACCCUGAGCCUGCUUCCGAUACGGGAGAACUAGAGGUAUGCAGGGGGAGAACGGAAUUCCUGGUGGAGCGGUGGAAUGCGCAGAUAUCAGGAGGAACACCGGUGGCGAAGGCGGUUCUCUGGGCAUUACCUGACGCUGAGAAGCGAAAGCGUGGGGAGCAAACAGGCUU
RNAcentral lists this ribosomal RNA (255 nucleotides) under uncultured bacterium. RNAcentral's name for it is "partial 16S ribosomal RNA". It matches the Rfam family "Bacterial small subunit ribosomal RNA", at positions 526 to 779 of the family's 1533-position model. The record is from RNAcentral.